ACUUUAUCACAUCUUUGAAUCUUAACUCUAUCUGCUUGUUUGAGUUGCAAACGGUGGAGCUGAAGAUGGAGGCUUUGGAGAAACAGGCAAAGCAUGCCCAGCUGCGAGAGCGGAAAGCGGCGCUGGAAACAUCCCGGGCGGACGCUCACUCGUCCCAGAUAUGGCUGAAUCACAGCUGCUAAAGAACAUAGGGGAUGUGAUAGCAGGAGUGCUUCUGGACCUUCCUGAUCAACUUUUUGAGUCCGUUGAAGAUACUUUAAAAACACUUGGUGCGGCAAGCACAGAUGAUUUAAAGAACAUCACAGAAAACGAUUUGCUGCCAGUGUUAAAGCCCAUACAAGCACAAAGACUGGCUGCUGCCUGGACCCAAAAUAGUUCCUCCUGCUUCAUUGCUGAGACAUUCAUGUUGAGCAUCGACAAGAAGAUUGUCAACGACCACAUCACAACCUUCACCUCCGCCAUCUGCCUGUUGUUUGGCAGUUAUUACUGCUUUAACAUACACUACCCAGUGGAACUACGAUCAACACUAGAGUUU
This is a long non-coding RNA of Silurus meridionalis, 535 nucleotides long. RefSeq lists it as uncharacterized. The record is from RefSeq and is a predicted model, not a curated record. NCBI's taxonomy places the organism in Eukaryota, Metazoa, Chordata, Actinopteri, Siluriformes, Siluridae. The transcript has 3 exons.